UUAAAGUUGUUAAAGUAGUGAAUUUUAGGUUCAGCUUUUCCAAAGGAACUAUAGUGUUUUUUUCUACCAAAAUUGAUUGUUUGUUCCAUAUAUUAUUUCAUUCGUUAUUGAUUUUCUUAUUAAUGUUUAGUCUGAUGUUAAAUAAUAAAUAAUGGAGGUAUAGCAGUUUAUAUAGGUUGGUUGCAGUUCCAGCAGACAAGGGGAACAAAAGGGAAGGAGACGUCCAGUGUUGUAGGCCAUUCGAUAACCUUGACACAUGUCUCUCAUGUUUGGUCUAUUCCUGUUGCACCGAAGUGUGGUCCCUCGUGAUUCAUCUCUUGUUCGAAUGCAAAAGCAAGACCUCAUAGUUGUCAUGAUGUCUGUCAUAAUAUGCUUGACUUGGAAGCCAAAAACAAACAUUUGAUAGGCAAGACUUAAAGCUAGGUUGGUUCUGUUUUGGAGCAAACCAAGUCUCAAAGAUCACCACAUUUUUCAUUUUUCUAACCAUGUCUUCCCCUUAUGUGACCCGACCCUACAUUCAUUUCAUUCCCUAGUCAAGUCAAACUCCUCAAGAAUGAAAAUUUGCAAGAGCCGAAGUGCAAGGAAAGAGUUGUGUAACUGUGUUGUGUUGUGUAGUGCCAGAUGCCAUUCCUUGUCAGAAUCACUACUUGCCCUCACUAGACUCUAGCCACUAGUACCACUCUGCUUGCAAAAAGCAGAAUCAACAAAAAGAGAAAAAGAAAAAAGAUUUACCACUUUAUGUUUGUUGUUCGGACAGCAUUUACUAUUUGGUGUUCAGUUUGAAUGCAGUAGCAAUUUCAUCUAAUUAUUUAUUUUCUGUCACAAGACAUGAAUGAUUUAAA
RNAcentral lists this small RNA (842 nucleotides) under Vigna angularis var. angularis. RNAcentral's name for it is "Non-protein coding transcript". Lineage: Eukaryota; Viridiplantae; Streptophyta; Magnoliopsida; Fabales; Fabaceae. The record is from RNAcentral.